UUUUAGCUGUUAGCUAAAAACUGGAAACAAAUCUAUCAUGAUGAUUGAAACAAGGCAUUUUUAUUGUCUUUCGACACUUGAAAUUUGAAAGCAAAGCCAUGGACAACUGGCACUUUGUUGCAAGAAAGAGGAGUGUAACUAUGGAGAUAGUUGUUCAGAAUGCCAAAUUCAGAAAAAAAGUAAGUGAAAUGUCUCACCAGUGUAGUGAAAACAGAUUGGAAAAGGAAUGGAAAUUGUGAUGCUAAAGCAGAUUCUUGCUUUUAGGAAUUUUUUCAUUAAAAUGCUAAUGUCUGGAAGCACUAGGGUUAAACACUUACUGGUUGCAAUUGCUUGUGCUGAUGGCAGACUGUCCUUCUGUGGUGAGAGCUAAGAAUUAGGGUGGGCUAAAGAGUGUUUUCUGAGGUGUGAUUCAGUGGAAAGGCAGACAUAUUUUCUUUGAGGUAUCUCCCCACUGCAGAAGACAUCUUGGAUAAGAGCCAUCAGCUGCCUCAAACCCCUAUGACCACUGGCAGUUCCCCAGUUGACCUCUGCUGACCUUUAACACAGUUGCUGUUUUCUCUUGGGAAGGCCCUUCCCUUCUACCUGUGCAUUCAGGCUUGAGUUAAUGAAAAAUUGAGUUCCGAAAAUGUCUUCCCAGUGGUGCAAACACCUCAACAUUAUAUCCCAUUGUAAUUGUCAAUAGGUAUUUGACAGAAUCUGGUAUUUUCUACCUCCCACACGUUCACUACAUCUUUUUCCUUCCAUUUAUGUCUUUAGCCCUAUAAAAUAACUCCAUAACCUACACCGCAUUUAGUUAAAAAUAGCCCUUUCUGAGACUUGCUUACAUCUGGUAGGUCUCCAUAGCUGGGGAUUCCAUGGGGAGGUGGGAUAGGCUACUGAGGUUCUGAAUUAACCUUAGGCACAAGGCGGAAUUGGGAUCCUUAGAAACAGCUUUUGAGUGUUGAACUGACCAGAAGCCCUAACUUCAUUUUUAUGAAGAAAAGAAUCUAUCUAAACGCGUUUUAUCCCGGAGUUUUCUCCUACACUAGUCUCAAAUUCAGAUCUUUCACAGACCUGUUUACCCAAGUGGAUCACACUAGGUGAAUAAUUGAUGUUUUCUGUAUGUCAGGAAAAGAAAGACACAGAUAAUGAAAUUCACCCUCAAAUACAGUUUAGGUACGUAUAGGUAUAUAUGUCUGUGCAUAUAUUACAGUAGUGUUAUACAGGGGGGUUUCAAAAGAUUCAAAGUUCUCAUUGCUUAAUUGCAUAUUUUAUUUUUUUAUAUAUUUCUAUUCAACUCACAUGUAGCUGAAAGGCUCUUAAGGAGCUUAAGGAAGCAUAUUUAUAACAGUUGCCUUUUAGAAAUAGGGGAGAAAACCUUUUCUGUGUGUAGAAAGUUAUGCUUGUAGUAUUUAGUCAUCUCUGACCUGAAACUGUAAAUAUUUUGGUUUUCUAAAAAAAAAGUUAUUCAGUGGCUUUUGCCAGAAUCUUGUCAGAACUGUAGGAGUUUAUAAUUUUAUUUUGAAACGAUAGUUCCUAGCAGCAUAGGGAUCCAGCUGUAUUAAUUUUUUGGUCAGUUGGACACUGGUGUUUCACUGCUUGGCCACACUCUUUGUGUACUAAGAUAUAAGAGAGAAAGAUUUUGGUAGUCAAAAGAGGCAAAAGGAGUUAGUGGAUGUUCAGUGAGAAGGAGAUGGAAACACGGCGUAAAUUAAUAUAAACUGCUGCUCUGCAAGUGUUUGCAGGUCAUCUUUGGCUUAUGCUGUUUUUCUUGAACCUCCUGUACUGAGCAUUGCAUAACCCCUGUUGCCAAGAAAAGAUCCAGUUGCACUUUAUUUGAAUAAUAGAGCUAAGUGGAUUAUGGAAAAACUGCGUACAUGAAUUGUGUUGAGGUGGUCCAAACAGCUAUUUAUAGGGCCCUUAAACACCAAAACUGGCACACCAAAUGUUGAGAAAAUCCAAAAUGAUGUAAUUUUUCCAAUCAGGCUUUUAAAAAGCAUAUAAUGAGAUAUUUAAAUAUUGUGAUGCAGAAGUUUUCUAAAAUCUGUCAAGCAUUAUGUUUUGGUUAUUAACACUUGUUUUUCUACAGGCCAAUGAAAUGGAAAGUUGUAUAAACUAGCUAGAUAUUGUAUCCUCAUUACUUAAAAUUAUUUCUUUGAUACACCUAGAAAUUUAACAUGCAUGCUGCCCUAAAGACAUCCUCCUUCUGCAACAUGAAAUACAAUGUACACGUGUUUCUUUCUCCACUUCAAAGCUCUUGAACCUCUUUGCAACAUAGAAUGAAGGUCCCGCGCAUGUCUGACAUGGCUCUUAGCGCAGGGAAUGAUUUCAGCUUCUCCCAGGCAGAGGCUCCUCCUACAGUACACAAAGGCUGUUUGUGUAGAGUAUUAUGUGAUGCAAGAGCUAAGCUUUUAUAUUUUAUGUGCCUGGGAAAUUGGGAAAUGGCAGAGAUUUUAGGGAAAGUAUUGUCCCAAGGAGCAUCUCACUCUCUGCUGAAACUCUGUCCUAGUCAGUAGUCUCAUUUCUCCCUUCCAGCCCAGUAUCAUCAUUCCCAGCUCACUCCUCCUUCUAUUUAGGGCUGAUGCCAUUUCAUUUAACAUUUAUAAGGACAACCUUUUAGGCCUCUCUGCUCCUUCAUGAUUUCCUGAAAUGUAGUAGAGGUCAUAGCAGCAAGACCGUUGUCCCAAGGUGGGCUAGCCUAAAGCUCACAGCCUGCUUGCAAAUUCUGGUCCAGUAAGGACUGAUAACUGCAAAGACUGAUUGAAGCAGAUUAUUUGGGAUGCUGUUCUGGGCUGCCCUAUCUCCACUUCCAUUUAUCCUGGGAAAGAUUCAAGAAUGGGGAGCUGAGUGGCUUUUUUUUUUUUUGUUGUUGAUUCAACUUUGAAAAAAUCUGCCUGCUUUUCUAUGCUUCUCAUCUGGGGGAAUAACACGGACAGCUUUUAACAUAGAAGCAUCACCUGUCAGCAUAUUCCUUUUUCACAUGUUGGAGCCUAAGUUUGUGAGACUUUUGCUCUGUUAUUUCAGGAGGCUGGUGCAAACUUGCACAAAAAUGCUUUUUGAACAACGUAAUGUAAAAUGACACUAGCAGCUAUACAUUACAUCUUUUAUACAUCUGUACUCUCCAAGCACUCCUAGCACUAAUAAAAUGUCUCUGGGUGGAGUUAGCAGUAGUAUCUAAUUGAGUAAGAAAGAAGUUUAUUCUGGUGUCCACGUAUGGAAGCUUCCUAACCUCUUGAUUUCCUUUUGAAUUUCUUGAUUUAUUCCUGCCAGUGUUUGUUUUAAAACAGAAGUUCUCAGCAUGUGUCUUGCCCAGUGACAUUAGGAAAUUUCUUGGCUGAGGCUUUCUGCAAGUGGAUCAAAGUAAUUGGGGAUCUUGCUGUGAGCCAGCAUCAAGAGCUGUCCUUCUUUGAAAAGCAGGUUGACUACUCAUAAUCAGUGCAGGCAGGAUAUCUAGAAGAGCUGCACCAACUCUACCAGGUAACAAAUAAAUGAAAUGUCUCAUUAUUGAUUUUUUU
This is a long non-coding RNA of Pezoporus flaviventris, 3494 nucleotides long. RefSeq lists it as uncharacterized. The transcript has 3 exons. The record is from RefSeq and is a predicted model, not a curated record. NCBI's taxonomy places the organism in Eukaryota, Metazoa, Chordata, Aves, Psittaciformes, Psittacidae.